This 65-nucleotide transfer RNA is filed under the name Pholidoptera griseoaptera (dark bush-cricket). Its description in RNAcentral is "tRNA-Arg". Lineage: Eukaryota; Metazoa; Arthropoda; Insecta; Orthoptera; Tettigoniidae. The record is from RNAcentral.
AAAUAAGAAGCGACUUAUUGCAUUCAGUUUCGACCUGAUCUUAGAUGAAUUCUCAUCCUUAUUUA